GAGAGCCGAACCUGAGACUGCCAGGAAUGGUGUCACAUUAAAAGUGCCUCAUUCUUUUGGGGCUGAUCAGGCCCCUGACUCGAUAUUUGCGGAGCUCAGGGAGAAUAUGCUGGACUGGCCACUAUCCGAGCCUACUUAAACCAGAAAGGAGAGGGACACAGAACGGUUUGCCUCAUUCCAAAGUCAGCACAUGGGACCAACCCAGCAAGUGCCCACAUGGCAGGCAUGAAGAUUCAGCCUGUGGAGGUGGAUAGAUAUGGGAAUAUCGAUGCAGUUCACCUCAAGGCCAUGGUGGAUAAGCACAAGGAGAACCUAGCAGCCAUCAUGAUUACAUACCCAUCCACCAAUGGGGUGUUUGAAGAAAACAUCAGUGACGUGUGUGACCUCAUCCAUCAACAUGGAGGACAGGUCUACCUAGACGGGGCAAAUAUGAACGCUCAGGUGGGAAUCUGUCGCCCUGGAGACUUUGGAUCUGAUGUCUCACACCUAAAUCUUCACAAGACCUUCUGCAUUCCCCAUGGAGGAGGUGGUCCUGGCAUGGGGCCCAUCGGAGUGAAGAAACAUCUUGCCCCGUUUUUGCCCAAUCAUCCCAUCAUUUCACUAAAGCGGAAUGAGGAUGCCUGUCCUGUGGGAACCGUCAGUGCAGCCCCAUGGGGCUCCAGUUCCAUCUUGCCUAUUUCCUGGGCUUAUAUCAAGAUGAUGGGAGGCAAGGGUCUUAAACAAGCCACGGAAACUGCGAUAUUAAAUGCCAAUUACAUGGCCAAGCGAUUAGAAAAACACUACAGAAUUCUUUUCAGGGGUGCAAGAGGUUAUGUGGGUCAUGAAUUUAUUUUGGACACGAGACCCUUCAAAAAGUCUGCAAAUAUUGAGGCUGUGGAUGUGGCCAAGAGACUCCAGGAUUAUGGAUUUCACGCCCCUACCAUGUCCUGGCCUGUGGCAGGGACCCUCAUGGUUGAGCCCACUGAGUCGGAGGACAAGGCAGAGCUGGACAGAUUCUGUGAUGCCAUGAUCAGCAUUCGGCAGGAAAUUGCUGACAUUGAGGAGGGCCGCAUCGACCCCAGGGUCAAUCCGCUGAAGAUGUCUCCACACUCCCUGACCUGCGUUACAUCUUCCUGCUGGGACCGGCCUUAUUCCAGAGAGGUGGCAGCAUUCCCACUCCCCUUCGUGAAACCAGAGAACAAAUUCUGGCCAACGAUUGCCCGGAUUGAUGACAUAUAUGGAGAUCAGCACCUGGUUUGUACCUGCCCACCCAUGGAAGUUUAUGAGUCUCCAUUUUCUGAACAAAAGAGGGCCUCUUCUUAGUCCUCUCUCCCUAAGUUUAGAGGACUGAUUUGAUGCCUCUCCCGAGAGCAUUUGAUAAGCAAGAAAGAUUUCAUCUCCCACCCCAGCCUCAAGUAGGAGUUUUAUGUACUGUGUAUAUCUCUGUAAUCUCUGUCAAGGUAAAUGUAAAUACAGUAGCUGGAGGGAGUUGAAGCUGAUGGGUGGAAGACGAAUUUGCUUUGGUAUUCUGCUUCUACGUGUGCCAGUUGCCUGGAUUGGGAGCCAUUUUGUGUUUUGCAUAGAAAGUUUUAGGAACUUUUUUUAAUGUGGCAAGUUUGCAGACGUUAUAGAGGCUAUCCCUGGAGACUUAAUAGACAUUUUUUUGUUCCAAAAGAGUCCAUGUGGACUGUGCCAUCUGUGGGAAAUCCCAGGGCAAAUGUUUACAUUUUGUAUACCCUGAAGAACUCUUUUUCCUCUAAUAUGCCUAAUCUGUAAUCAUAUUUCUGAGUGUUUUUCCUCUUUUUCUGUGUGAGGUUUUUUUUAUCUGCAUUUAUUACUAUUCUAAUAAAAGCAUUUUGAUUGGAA
This 1845-nucleotide small RNA is filed under the name Pongo abelii (Sumatran orangutan). Its description in RNAcentral is "processed transcript". Lineage: Eukaryota; Metazoa; Chordata; Mammalia; Primates; Hominidae. The record is from RNAcentral.